AGCCAUCAAAUACUGUAUGUCCAGCUGUGGGUAGCAUCGCAGAGAAGGCAUAAAUUUUUCAUUGUAUGCGAUGCGACCCGUUGGUGGGUAAACACUUUGAGGUUACCAGUUCGUUUGGGUGUUCUCCCAGAUAACACUCUGCUCCUCUCGUUUCACUGGCUUGACCAGCACUGACGUGAUGACAAUUUAUUUGUAUCAGUGCAGGAGAGCUCGUUGCGCUGCUAAUCACAGGGAAUGUGUUAAAUAUCAAGUCACGUCAAAUAAAAAUUGCUUUAUUCAAACUUGCCUGAAUCGAAAGUUGACUGUACUUUAUAAUAACACUACCAGCAUUUCAUUUUUCAGCUUCACCAGAAGCAGAUAAGAAAUAUUUGAUUUUCAGUUGACUAUACAUAACAUAAGAAUCUCGUGUAACAACUUUGAAAGUUUUUUAAUUAAUCUGCUGAUAGUAUGUCAUAUCUUACAAAGUAAAACUGCAGUGUGGAUCUUUAAAAAUUACUACAUGAAGUCAUGAACUAUAUUUGAAGUGCAAUCCAAAAGUUUCAAGACUGUUUCAAUAAGUAAAUUAUGGGAUAUGUCAUGUUAUGACCUCUGUUGUAUGAUAACAUAGGAAAAUAAGUAUUGGAUCUGAUAUUGUUAUCAUGAUGAACUAUCAAGAUUUCAUAACACCCACUUAUGGUUGUUACUCAGAAAUCUAUUUUGGAUUUUUUGUUCAGCGUCUUUCUUGUUUCCAGCAUAUUUUAACUGAAGCUUCAACUUAUGGGAGUAGGAUGAAUUGUGAAGCUAUCAAUUACUGGAUAGACAUAGAAGUAUAGGAUGGAAAGGUGUUAUGGCACAAAGGCCACUUUUUGCACAUCACUUGCCUGGUUAUUUCCUUUGCUAUUUUUUAUCAGAAGUUUCAGGAGAUUAAUCUAAGAGUUAGUUCAUUGCCUGACAAGCAGGGGGAACUCCAAGUGAAUAAUUCCCUUCAUGUCAUAGAAACAUAUUAGCGGAUACUUGACAUUGUUUUUGAUAUGCCAUUAUUUUUUCUGUCAGGAUGAACAUCUCUUUCUUUGGAAUAACUGCCAUUUUGUCUCUGGGUUAUAGCCAUAGGCCCAACUUUCAUCACCCGUGAUGAAAGCUUGUAAUCACAUUAAACACAAUCUUGGAGAUUUCUGUAAACAAUCAACUUCAUGUUAUUUCCUCCGGGAAAGUUACGUUGAUGUGACCAGGGCCCGUAUUUAUAAAACUAUGAUUCAACAGAAGGGAAACAUAAGUUCACAAGAUGGCGGACACCAUGACUUACAUGAAACAUAAGUCUUAUGUCUCAUGUUAGGUCAUCAUAAACUCGCAUUCCCGUUAUGUUUGGGUGGGAGCAAGAAUAGCAUCGCUAUGUCGAAUCAUAAAGUCAACAUGGCGGAGGCAGUGGGACAGCGACGACGCCACCUGAGAAGUUUUUGUGAUUGUAGAGACGUGUUGGCUGAACUAAGUGACUCAGAACUGAUAAGAGGUAUCAGUUAGAGCGUGCAGCCAAGGUAUAUGGGGCUGACAUGCAAGGAUUCUUAGGGAAAGUGAACUCCAGCAGGGGUGUGAGAGGGAGACGGUGACAGCUGGAUGCCGCCUUGAGGGGAACAGUGGUUACCCUAGUAAAAAGUGGCUUCUGACAUAUAUCUUCGACCUCUGCCUGCCCCACACUCCAACUACAAUAGAUGGUGCUCAACCUCUACAACCCUUUGCUACAUCAUCCACUGAGACGGUGGAUGUCUCGGCAGCAGCAGGAGGUUCAGCGUGUUAGGCGUUGGAAGUGCUGCUGUAGCAUUUCCAUCUAUACUGUUAUGAACAAUGACAACAAAUGUUAGUUAAACCAUCACAAGCAUAUUUAUUGCAGAUCUAUCUCACUAUCUAUAUAAGAGGUAAACAAUCCUUUCAAGCAGGAAGUAUCUUCCUGCCCCCAUACUCCUCAUACACAGUGUAAGUGUAUAUGGUGUGUGUGUGGUUGCCUCAUUUUUGCUGUCCUCCUGGAGGAGGGUGUUGGCUUUGUCUAUACAUAGAUAGAUAGUUAAUGUCCUUACACUUAAGUUAUAAAGAUAUUUUGUAUGCUCUUAUUGAUAUUUUCAGCAGUAGGGUAAUGUACUGUUAUUGUGUUGCAGACAGGUACUGAGUGUACUUGUCAUUAAGACACAUUCAUGUGUGGAUGCAUUUCUUGUGAGCUGCCAUUUCCAACCUUCCAUAAUUGAAUAUCAACAUAGGAAAUUCUUCAUAUCAAUGAGACCCAUCAAUUUGAUUAGGUUAAGUUACUGGAAGUUAUACUCUGUUAGUUUAGGGUUAAAGUUAGUUAUGUGUAAGGUGGCAGUUGUUGUUGUUUAUACCUGGAAGUAUUAAAUACAAUAAAUGGAUAGUUUGUU
This 2381-nucleotide long non-coding RNA is filed under the name Portunus trituberculatus (swimming crab). RNAcentral describes it as "uncharacterized LOC123513299". The record is from RNAcentral. Lineage: Eukaryota; Metazoa; Arthropoda; Malacostraca; Decapoda; Portunidae.